This 258-nucleotide ribosomal RNA is filed under the name uncultured soil bacterium. Its description in RNAcentral is "partial 16S ribosomal RNA". It matches the Rfam family "Bacterial small subunit ribosomal RNA", at positions 26 to 312 of the family's 1533-position model. The record is from RNAcentral.
AGAACGAACGCUGGCGGCAUGCUUAACACAUGCAAGUCGAACGAGACCUUCGGGUCUAGUGGCGCACGGGUGCGUAACGCGUGGGAAUCUGCCCUUUGCUACGGAAUAACUCAGAGAAAUUUGUGCUAAUACCGUAUGAUGUCGCAAGACCAAAGAUUUAUCGGCAAAGGAUGAGCCCGCGUAAGAUUAGCUUGUUGGUGAGGUAAAAGCUCACCAAGGCGACGAUCUUUAGCUGGUCUGAGGGGAUGAUCAGCCACA